CCCUUAGAUGUUCUGGGCUGCACGCGCGCUACACUGAUGCACUCAACGAGUUUACGACCUUGCCCGAUAGGGUUGGGUAAUCUUUUUAAAAUGCAUCGUGAUGGGGAUAGAUUAUUGCAAUUAUUAAUCUUCAACGAGGAAUUCCUAGUAAGCGCGAGUCAUCAGCUCGUGCUGAUUACGUCCCUGCCCUUUGUACACACCGCCCGUCGCUCCUACCGAUUGAGUGCUCAGGUGAAUAAUUCGGACUGCAGCAAUGUUUGGAUCCCGAACGUUGCAGCGGAAAGUUUAGUGAACCUUAUCACUUAGAGGAAGGAGAAGGCGUAACA
Molecule: ribosomal RNA, 326 nt
Filed under: uncultured eukaryote
Lineage: Eukaryota
Description: partial 18S ribosomal RNA
Rfam family: Eukaryotic small subunit ribosomal RNA
Source: RNAcentral